RNAcentral lists this ribosomal RNA (344 nucleotides) under Escherichia sp. E4742. RNAcentral's name for it is "partial 23S ribosomal RNA". It matches the Rfam family "Bacterial large subunit ribosomal RNA", at positions 1 to 372 of the family's 2925-position model. Lineage: Bacteria; Pseudomonadati; Pseudomonadota; Gammaproteobacteria; Enterobacterales; Enterobacteriaceae. The record is from RNAcentral.
GGGUUGUGAGGUUAAGCGACUAAGCGUACACGGUGGAUGCCCUGGCAGUCAGAGGCGAUGAAGGACGUGCUAAUCUGCGAUAAGCGUCGGUAAGGUGAUAUGAACCGUUAUAACCGGCGAUUUCCGAAUGGGGAAACCCAGUGUGUUUCGACACACUAUCAUUAACUGAAUCCAUAGGUUAAUGAGGCGAACCGGGGGAACUGAAACAUCUAAGUACCCCGAGGAAAAGAAAUCAACCGAGAUUCCCCCAGUAGCGGCGAGCGAACGGGGAGCAGCCCAGAGCCUGAAUCAGUGUGUGUGUUAGUGGAAGCGUCUGGAAAGGCGCGCGAUACAGGGUGGACAGC